RNAcentral lists this ribosomal RNA (492 nucleotides) under uncultured bacterium. RNAcentral's name for it is "partial 16S ribosomal RNA". It matches the Rfam family "Bacterial small subunit ribosomal RNA", at positions 29 to 507 of the family's 1533-position model. The record is from RNAcentral.
AGUGAACGCUGGCGGUAGGCCUAACACAUGCAAGUCGAACGGCAGCACAGUAAGAGCUUGCUCUUACGGGUGGCGAGUGGCGGACGGGUGAGGAAUACAUCGGAAUCUACUUUUUCGUGGGGGAUAACGUAGGGAAACUUACGCUAAUACCGCAUACGACCUACGGGUGAAAGCAGGGGAUCUUCGGACCUUGCGCGAUUGAAUGAGCCGAUGUCGGAUUAGCUAGCUGGCGGGGUAAAGGCCCACCAAGGCGACGAUCCGUAGCUGGUCUGAGAGGAUGAUCAGCCACACGGGAACUGAGACACGGUCCAGACUCCUACGGGAGGCAGCAGUGGGGAAUAUUGGACAAUGGGCGCAAGCCUGAUCCAGCCAUACCGCGUGGGUGAAGAAGGCCUUCGGGUUGUAAAGCCCUUUUGUUGGGAAAGAAAAGCAGCAGGUUAAUACCCCGCUGUUCUGACGGUACCCAAAGAAUAAGCACCGGCUAACUUCGUG